This 318-nucleotide unclassified non-coding RNA is filed under the name plant metagenome. RNAcentral's name for it is "partial contains 5.8S ribosomal RNA, internal transcribed spacer 2, and large subunit ribosomal RNA". The stretch from base 1 to 105 matches the Rfam family "5.8S ribosomal RNA", at positions 50 to 154 of the family's 154-position model. The record is from RNAcentral.
GAAAUGCGAUAAGUAAUGUGAAUUGCAGAAUUCAGUGAAUCAUCGAAUCUUUGAACGCACCUUGCGCCCGCCAGAAUUCUGGCGGGCAUGCCUGUUCGAGCGUCAUUUCAACCCUCGAGCUCCCCUUUCGGGGGGAGCCCGGCGUUGGGGACCCGGCGCUAACAACGCCGGCCCCGAAAUGGAGUGGCGGCCCGUCCGCGGCGACCUCUGCGUAGUAACAACCACUCGCACCGGGACCCGGGCGCGGCCACGCCGUAAAACACCCCACCUUCCGAAUGUUGACCUCGAAUCAGGUAGGAAUACCCGCUGAACUUAAGC